This 1468-nucleotide long non-coding RNA is filed under the name Anas platyrhynchos platyrhynchos (common mallard). Its description in RNAcentral is "lncRNA (ENSAPLG00000027424.1)". Lineage: Eukaryota; Metazoa; Chordata; Aves; Anseriformes; Anatidae. The record is from RNAcentral.
AGUACCUCCUUUUUCUCUAGUUCUCCAUGUACCUGCUCUUUUAAAGCUUUUUGUUGCUGCUUUAUUGUUCUUCCAUCUCUGAUGCUUUAUGCAGCAGCCUGCCUUGUAGGUAUGUAAUGGGAUAAAAUGAGCAGCUAGAAACACGCUGCUAACAAAAUGCAAAAAAUGAUAAACUGCCAUGGUUACAAAGGGAUGAAUUAAAACAGCUAGCUGCACAGCAGGUUGAUCCUGAGCUAAGAAAAUCUUUCAGCAAUAGCCAUGACCACUGCUGUUGAUAUGUGUGUAGCCGUAAAUCUGGAUGUAGAGGAGCCACUUGACUGAAUUUGCAGGUGCUGCACACUGAUCUGCUUACUGGAGUGCUUUUUGCUGUAAACAUGUAAGGAUGAACAUGUUUGCUUCAGGAAAAAAAAAAAUAGAGAGAGAAAAAAAGGAAUAAAAAACAGGAAAGGAGGGAAUGGCUGUAGAUGAGUCAUUUCUCUGCACACAGCAAGGCCCACAUACCAAAAACCAAAACACACUUUGCAAAGUGCGGGUACCCCAAAAUGACCCGAAAUGAUGCCAGGGCACCGCGGGCUCACUUGGGAUGGGGUGCCCAGUGUGCGGGCCCUGAAAGGAGGGCAGAAAAGCGGCGCUGCAGGCAGGAUGCAGCCUUGAAACGGGGCACACAGGAGCCAGAAGCACGGGGAAGCAUCCACCCAAAGUUGUGUCUGCAGAGCGGUGUUUGGAGGAGCCUCUUGCUCAGCAUCAGUGCCGUGACAGCUCUCCCAGCUCACCGCCCGCUGCCAGCCACGCUCUCCUAUUGUUCCGAGCAGCUGCGGGCGGCAUCAACAACACCGGGAGAGGCAGGAAUUAGCUGGGGACACCCACUAAUUGCCCCCCCCCAGCUACCUGCACCCCCAGGAGGGGUGGAUGCCAGCCGGGGACAGGCGCUGCCCGCCUUCCUCCUCCCCAACACCCGCAGCCUCCCCCUCGCCCACCCGCCGGCCGAGGGCGGUGCUUGCGGCUCGGGGCGGUCCCGGCGUGGCCCCGCCGCCGUUCCCCGGUGCCCUGGAGCCUCUCCUGUCCCUGUCGCUGUCCCUGUCCCCAUCGCCGUCCCCAUCCUCGUCCCUGUCGCCGUCUCCCCGGGCCUGUCAGGGGCCGCCAUGGGGACCAACGCGCCGCCGCGCAGGGAGCCGCCCGCCCGCGGCCCCCACGCAUGAGGAAGUAACCCUGUGCUUAACCUCCGUGCAGAAGAUGGCAGUGGCACUGACUCAGUCUGCCCACACUGCAUGACAGUGCAGCUAUGCACUGACAGGCCCCUUGGUGCAAGUCCAGACUGCGCUUUAGCACCUGUCACCUCAUUUGGGAUGGUUUCCCAGGCAGGGUGAUCAUGAAACCAGCUGCAAGAUCUUGCUCCUUCUGUUAAAAUCCUAAGCAGCGUGCCCUCUCUGGAAAGAAGCAAGCCCAUCUUCCGCGUUUCCCAGCUCUU